This 373-nucleotide ribosomal RNA is filed under the name uncultured organism. RNAcentral's name for it is "partial 16S ribosomal RNA". It matches the Rfam family "Bacterial small subunit ribosomal RNA", at positions 527 to 896 of the family's 1533-position model. The record is from RNAcentral.
GUAGGUGGCAAGCGUUGUCCGGAAUUAUUGGGCGUAAAGCGCGCGCAGGUGGUUCUUUAAGUCUGAUGUGAAAGCCCCCGGGCUCAACCGGGGAGGGUCAUUGGAAACUGGGGAACUUGAGUGCAGGAGAGGAAAGUGGAAUUCCACGUGUAGCGGUGAAAUGCGUAGAUAUGUGGAGGAACACCAGUGGCGAAGGCGACUUUCUGGCCUGUAACUGACACUGAGGCGCGAAAGCGUGGGGAGCAAACAGGAUUAGAUACCCUGGUAGUCCGCGCCGUAAACGAUGAGUGCUAAGUGUUGGGGGGUUUCCGCCCCUCAGUGCUGCAGCUAACGCAUUAAGCACUCCGCCUGGGGAGUACGGUCGCAAAGACUG